Molecule: long non-coding RNA, 723 nt
Organism: Aquila chrysaetos chrysaetos
Lineage: Eukaryota; Metazoa; Chordata; Aves; Accipitriformes; Accipitridae
Exons: 4
Source: RefSeq, a predicted model, not a curated record
AUCCAGGGCUGCCGGAGAGGCGCGACGCGCUUCUAACAGGGGGCCGGCGGCGGCUCCGUCGCCGGCGGGAUGCGUUCGAGCGGUCUCGAGGAGACGGGAAAGGGGCUCUCCGCCCCCGCCCUCGGCCGAAAGCAGCUUUGCGCGACCCCGGUGCCCGGGAGGCCGGACCCCCCGCGGAGGUAGCCCAGUGACGAGCCGCCGCCGCCGCCGCCGCCGCCGCUGCCCCCUCCUCCCGAGCCGGGAGGGACCCGAUCAGGGCGAUACGGGCCGACUUCUGCCGGGAUCGAUUAACGUCCGCCGGGUCGAGCUCACGUUCGCAACGAACGACUCGGUCGGUCGAGAACGGGCGCCCGGUGAGGAACGGGAGCCGGCCUAGGGAAGGCCCGGCGCGCGUCAUCCUCGGGAGGUUAGUUGCUUAACAAGUCAACGUGGCUGGAGAGCAAAGGGCGACGACGAGGAGUCCGAUCCCACCCCAGCGGUGCUACGCGGUACCCAGACCCCCGAUGGCCACCGACUCGUACGGAGACGAGAACGCAAGCGUCGGCACCUCUUCCCGAAGAAGUCGUUACCGAUAAAGUACACCGACUGCGGGUAACGAUUUGCUCUCACGUUUUUGAGGCGUGCCUGCCUGCCUGCCUGCCUGCCUGGCUGUCUGCGUGCGUGCGUGCGUGCGUGCGUGGUAAAAGACAAGAUGUCAGACAUAAUAAAUUUUUAAAAAUGGAA